AACGAACGCUGGCGGCAGGCUUAACACAUGCAAGUCGAGCGGGCCCUCCGGGGUCAGCGGCUGCUGGGUGAGCAACCGGUGGGAUCGUACCUUUUGGUUCGGCACAUCUCCGGGAAAUUGGAGCUAAUAACGGAUAAGCCCUCAGGGGGAAAGCUCCAUCGCCAUAAGAUCGGCCCGCGUCUGUUUAGCUUGUUGGUGGGGUUACGGCCCACUAAGCCGGCGAUCAGUAGCUGGUCUGAGAGGGUGAUCAGCCACACUGGGACUGGGACACGGCCCAGACGCCUACGAGAGGCAGCAAAGGGGAAAAUUGGGCAGUGGGCGCGAGCCUGAUCCGGCCAGGCCGCGAGAGUGAUGAAGGCCUUAGGAUUGGAAUGCGCUUUUGUCCAAGAAGAUAGUGACUGUACCGGAUGAAGAAGCCCCGGCUAACUUCGUG
RNAcentral lists this ribosomal RNA (433 nucleotides) under uncultured bacterium. RNAcentral's name for it is "partial 16S ribosomal RNA". It matches the Rfam family "Bacterial small subunit ribosomal RNA", at positions 29 to 507 of the family's 1533-position model. The record is from RNAcentral.